This 26-nucleotide microRNA is filed under the name Mus musculus (house mouse). Its description in RNAcentral is "mmu-miR-6981-5p". The record is from miRBase by way of RNAcentral. Lineage: Eukaryota; Metazoa; Chordata; Mammalia; Rodentia; Muridae.
GUGAGGAGAAGGAAGAGGCUGAAGGC